RNAcentral lists this ribosomal RNA (499 nucleotides) under uncultured Glomeromycotina. RNAcentral's name for it is "partial small subunit ribosomal RNA". It matches the Rfam family "Eukaryotic small subunit ribosomal RNA", at positions 591 to 1092 of the family's 1831-position model. The record is from RNAcentral. Lineage: Eukaryota; Fungi; Glomeromycota.
CCAAUAGCGUAUAUUAAAGUUGUUGCAGUUAAAAAGCUCGUAGUUGAAUUUCGGGAUCAAUAUGUCGGUCGUGCCUCGGUACGUACUGGCGUAAUUGGUUUCUCCCUUCUGAAGAACCUCGAUGUCAUUAAUUUGGUGUCUUGGGGAAUCAGGACUGUUACUUUGAAAAAAUUAGAGUGUUUAAAGCAGGCUCGCGCUUGAAUACAUUAGCAUGGAAUAAUGAAAUAGGACGUUUGAUUCUAUUUUGUUGGUUUCUAGGAUCGACGUAAUGAUUAAUAGGGAUAGUUGGGGGAAUUAGUAUUCAAUUGUCAGAGGUGAAAUUCUUGGAUUUAUUGAAGACUAACUACUGCGAAAGCAUUUGCCAAGGAUGUUUUCAUUAAUCAAGAACGAAAGUUAGGGGAUCGAAGACGAUCAGAUACCGUCGUAGUCUUAACCAUAAACUAUGCCGACUAGGGAGCGGAUGAUGUUGAUUUUUUAAUGACUCAUUCGGCGCCUUACG